Molecule: ribosomal RNA, 253 nt
Filed under: uncultured bacterium
Lineage: Bacteria
Description: partial 16S ribosomal RNA
Rfam family: Bacterial small subunit ribosomal RNA
Source: RNAcentral
UACGUAGGGACCGAGCGUUGUCCGGAAUCAUUGGGCGUAAAGGGCGCGUAGGCGGGCUGUCAAGUCUGGGGUGAAAUGCCGCGGCUCAACCGUGGAACUGCCUCAGAUACUGACGGCCUCGAGGGAGGUAGGGGCGUGCGGAACUGUAGGUGGAGCGGUGAAAUGCGUUGAUAUCUACAGGAACUCCGGUGGCGAAAGCGGCGCGCUGGACCUCUUCUGACGCUGAGGCGCGAAAGCUAGGGGAGCAAACGGG